GUUUUGGGCUCUAAUUUGAGAUUUGAUUUGGUAAGAUUUGCAGAACUAUUGGAGCUGAGCUAAUGUUAUUUUAUUUUGAAGAUUUAUCAUAAAGCGUAGUGUUUCAUCUACAGUUUUCUUUUUGUUUAGGGUACUUCCAUUCAACGACAUGUCCAUAUGCAUCCCAAAAAAAUGGUCGGGCAUAGCGUAAACAUCAUCACAUCCUCGAUAUAGUUCGUCUGCUUCUUCUAUCCACCUCAUAUUCUUAUCGCUAUUGGGGAGGAGCCGUUCUUGCUUCCGUCUACACCAUAAAAGGUCCUAAGCUCACAUCUACUGCUCUCGAUACAGUCUCGUUGUCCUUGUCUCCUACAAAGGAUCUGUCUGUGCUUCUUGAACUAGGGCCCAAGCCUUCUCUUGAUGUCCGUUCUACCACUCUCUGUCGAUCUACUCAUGAAAUACACGCUCUUGAGAAGACAAACAUUUGGGAUCUUGUGACUCUACCGACGGGCAAACACUCGAUUUGGUGCAAGUGGGUCUACAAAAUUAAGAUUCACUCAAAUGGUUCGAUUGAGAGCAAAAUUGGUCUUGGAGCGAAGGGCUACUCUUAGAAGUAUGAUGUUGACUAUGAGAAAACAUUUUCUCUUAUUACUCGCCUUACCAUUAUUCAGUGUUUACUUGUAAUUGUUGUUGUUUAUUGGUGGUUACUUUUUCAAUUGAGUUUCAAAAAUACCUUAUUGCAUGGAAACUUGACUGAGGAUGUCUACAUGAGUCAUUCUCCAGGUAUUGAGAUUUCCAAUAAGGUAUAUAAACUGUGUCAGGCUCUCUAUGGUAUGAAAUAGACACUUUGUGCUUGGUGUGCCAAAUUAAGCUCUCUUAGUAUUCAUGAUUAGGCUCUCUUCAUUCGUCGGAGCUCUUCUGGAAUUAUUAUGCUAUUAUUGUAAGUUGAAGAUAUAAUUUUCAUUAGGGACAACAACUAUGGUAUUUCUUAUUUGUAGGGCUUACCUUCGUCAACAUUUUAAGAUAAACUGUCUUGGUCAUCUUCGCUAUUUUUUAGGACUUGAGAUUUCUGAUACUUUAGAUGACUUCUUCUUGUCUCAAGCCAAGUAUACGUCUAAUCUUAUCUCCCAUGCUGGCCUAAUUCAUAGCAAGGUCACCUUCACACCUCAUGAGGCGAACAGUCGUCUCACCCCUUGCGAUGACUCUAUGCUUGACGACCUGACUCUUUGUCGUCAGCUGGUUGGAUCCUUGAUUUAUCUCACAAUCUCUCGUCCUAACAUAGUCUAUGUCAUUCAUAGGGGUGGGCAAAAAAACCGAACCGUCGAACCGCUGAAUCGAACGGAACCGAACUGAAUUUU
This is a long non-coding RNA of Andrographis paniculata, 1334 nucleotides long. RefSeq lists it as uncharacterized. The record is from RefSeq and is a predicted model, not a curated record. The transcript has 4 exons. Lineage: Eukaryota; Viridiplantae; Streptophyta; Magnoliopsida; Lamiales; Acanthaceae.